AACGAACGCUGGCGGCAUGCCUAACACAUGCAAGUCGAACGAGACCUUCGGGUCUAGUUGCGCACGGGUGCGUAACGCGUGGGAACCUGCCCUUAGGUUCGGAAUAACGCCCCGAAAGGGGGGCUAAUACCGGAUAAUGGCUGCUGACCAAAGAUUUAUCGCCUUUGGAGGGGGCCGCGUUGGAUUAGGCAGUUGGUAGGGUAAAAGCCUACCAAGGCGACGAUCCAUAUCUGGUCUGAGAGGAUGAUCAGCCACACUGGGACUGAGACACGGCCCAGACUCCUACGGGAGGCAGGAGUGGGGAAUAAUGGACAAUGGGCGAGAGACUGAUCGAGCAAUGCCGCGUGAGAGAUGAAGGCCUUAGGGUUGUAAAGCUCUUUUACCCGGGAUGAUAAUGACAGUACCGGGAGAAUAAGCUCCGGCUAACUCCGUG
This 433-nucleotide ribosomal RNA is filed under the name uncultured bacterium. RNAcentral's name for it is "partial 16S ribosomal RNA". It matches the Rfam family "Bacterial small subunit ribosomal RNA", at positions 29 to 507 of the family's 1533-position model. The record is from RNAcentral.